UGACAGCCCGGCCAGCCUUCAUGUGU
Molecule: non-coding RNA, 26 nt
Filed under: Rattus norvegicus (Norway rat)
Lineage: Eukaryota; Metazoa; Chordata; Mammalia; Rodentia; Muridae
Source: RNAcentral